GAUAGCUGGUUCUCCCCGAAAGCUAUUUAGGUAGCGCCUCGUGAAUUCAUCUCCGGGGGUAGAGCACUGUUUCGGCUAGGGGGCCAUCCCGGCUUACCAACCCGAUGCAAACUGCGAAUACCGGAGAAUGUUAUCACGGGAGACACACGGCGGGUGCUAACGUCCGUCGUGAAGAGGGAAACAACCCAGACCGCCAGCUAAGGUCCCAAAGUCAUGGUUAAGUGGGAAACGAUGUGGGAAGGCCCAGACAGCCAGGAUGUUGGCUUAGAAGCAGCCAUCAUUUAAAGAAAGCGUAAUAGCUCACUGGUCGAGUCGGCCUGCGCGGAAGAUGUAACGGGGCUAAACCAUGCACCGAAGCUGCGGCAGCGACGCUGAUGCGUUGUUGGGUAGGGGAGCGUUCUGUAAGCCUGCGAAGGUGGCCUGUGAGGGUUGCUGGAGGUAUCAGAAGUGCGAAUGCUGACAUAAGUAACGAUAAAGCGGGUGAAAAGCCCGCUCGCCGGAAGACCAAGGGUUCCUGUCCAACGUUAAUCGGGGCAGGGUGAGUCGACCCCUAAGGCGAGGCCGAAAGGCGUAGUCGAUGGGAAACGGGUUAAUAUUCCCGUACUUGGUGUUACUGCGAAGGGGGGACGGAGAAGGCUAUGUUGGCCGGGCGACGGUUGUCCCGGUUUAAGCGUGUAGGUGUGUGUUCCAGGUAAAUCCGGUUCACUUUAACACUGAGGCGUGAUGACGAGGCACUACGGUGCUGAAGCAACAAAUGCCCUGCUUCCAGGAAAAGCCUCUAAGCAUCAGGUAACAUCAAAUCGUACCCCAAACCGACACAGGUGGUCAGGUAGAGAAUACCAAGGCGCUUGAGAGAACUCGGGUGAAGGAACUAGGCAAAAUGGUGCCGUAACUUCGGGAGAAGGCACGCUGACACGUAGGUGAAGUGAUUUACUCAUGGAGCUGAAGUCAGUCGAAGAUACCAGCUGGCUGCAACUGUUUAUUAAAAACACAGCACUGUGCAAACACGAAAGUGGACGUAUACGGUGUGACGCCUGCCCGGUGCCGGAAGGUUAAUUGAUGGGGUCAGCGCAAGCGAAGCUCCUGAUCGAAGCCCCGGUAAACGGCGGCCGUAACUAUAACGGUCCUAAGGUAGCGAAAUUCCUUGUCGGGUAAGUUCCGACCUGCACGAAUGGCGUAAUGAUGGCCAGGCUGUCUCCACCCGAGACUCAGUGAAAUUGAACUCGCUGUGAAGAUGCAGUGUACCCGCGGCAAGACGGAAAGACCCCGUGAACCUUUACUAUAGCUUGACACUGAACAUUGAGCCUUGAUGUGUAGGAUAGGUGGGAGGCUUUGAAGUGUGGACGCCAGUCUGCAUGGAGCCGGCCUUGAAAUACCACCCUUUAAUGUUUGAUGUUCUAACGUGGACCCGUGAUCCGGGUUGCGGACAGUGUCUGGUGGGUAGUUUGACUGGGGCGGUCUCCUCCUAAAGAGUAACGGAGGAGCACGAAGGUUGGCUAAUCCUGGUCGGACAUCAGGAGGUUAGUGCAAUGGCAUAAGCCAGCUUGACUGCGAGCGUGACGGCGCGAGCAGGUGCGAAAGCAGGUCAUAGUGAUCCGGUGGUUCUGAAUGGAAGGGCCAUCGCUCAACGGAUAAAAGGUACUCCGGGGAUAACAGGCUGAUACCGCCCAAGAGUUCAUAUCGACGGCGGUGUUUGGCACCUCGAUGUCGGCUCAUCACAUCCUGGGGCUGAAGUAGGUCCCAAGGGUAUGGCUGUUCGCCAUUUAAAGUGGUACGCGAGCUGGGUUUAGAACGUCGUGAGACAGUUCGGUCCCUAUCUGCCGUGGGCGCUGGAGAACUGAGGGGGGCUGCUCCUAGUACGAGAGGACCGGAGUGGACGCAUCACUGGUGUUCGGGUUGUCAUGCCAAUGGCACUGCCCGGUAGCUAAAUGCGGAAGAGAUAAGUGCUGAAAGCAUCUAAGCACGAAACUUGCCCCGAGAUGAGUUCUCCCUGAGACUUAGAGUCUCCUGAAGGAACGUUGAAGACGACGACGUUGAUAGGCCGGGUGUGUAAGCGCAGCGAUGCGUUGAGCUAACCGGUACUAAUGAACCGUGAGGCUUAACCUUACA
Molecule: ribosomal RNA, 2109 nt
Filed under: Salmonella enterica
Lineage: Bacteria; Pseudomonadati; Pseudomonadota; Gammaproteobacteria; Enterobacterales; Enterobacteriaceae
Description: partial 23S ribosomal RNA
Rfam family: Bacterial large subunit ribosomal RNA
Source: RNAcentral